UGAGACUAGCAUAUCAAUAAGCGGAGGAAAAGAAACCAACAGGGAUUGCCCCAGUAACGGCGAGUGAAGCGGCAGCAGCUCAAAUUUGAAAGCCGGCCCCCGGGCCCGCGUUGUAAUUUGCAGAGGACGCUUCUGGCCCGGCCCCCUCCGAGUGCCCUGGAACGGGCCGCCGCAGAGGGUGAGAGCCCCGUACGGUCGGGCGCCGGCGCCAGUGCGAAGCUCCUUCGACGAGUCGAGUAGUUUGGGAAUGCUGCUCAAAACGGGAGGUAAAUUCCUUCUAAGGCUAAAUACCGGCUGGAGACCGAUAGCGCACAAGUAGAGUGAUCGAAAGAUGAAAAGCACUUUGGAAAGAGGGUUAAACAGCACGUGAAAUUGUUGAAAGGGAAGCGCCCGCAGCCAGACGCGGGCCGGCCCGAUCACCCGGCGCCCGCGCCGGUGCACUCGGGCCGGCCCGGGCCAGCGUCGGCUCCCGCGGCGGGACAAAGGCCCCGGGAACGUAGCUCCCCGCGGGGAGUGUUACAGCCCGGGGCGCAGCGCCGCCGCGGGGGCCGAGGUCCGCGCUCCGCAAGGACGCUGGCGUAAUGGCGGCCGGCGGCCCGUCUUGAAACACGGACCAAGGAGUCGAGGUUCUGCGCGAGUGUACGGGUGCCAAACCCGCACGCGCAAUGAAAGUGAACGCCGGUGGGAGCCUCGGCGCACCACCGACCGGUCCUGAUGUCCUCGGAUGGAUCUGAGUAGGAGCGCAGCGCCUCGGACCCGAAAGAUGGUGAACUAUGCCUGGGUAGGGUGAAGCCAGAGGAAACUCUGGUGGAGGCUCGCAGCGGUUCUGACGUGCAAAUCGAUCGUCGAACCUGGGCAUGGGGGCGAAAGACUAAUCGAACCAUCUAGUAGCUGGUUACCGCC
Molecule: ribosomal RNA, 903 nt
Filed under: Neolinocarpon rachidis
Lineage: Eukaryota; Fungi; Ascomycota; Sordariomycetes; Chaetosphaeriales; Linocarpaceae
Description: partial large subunit ribosomal RNA
Rfam family: Eukaryotic large subunit ribosomal RNA
Source: RNAcentral